This 405-nucleotide ribosomal RNA is filed under the name uncultured prokaryote. Its description in RNAcentral is "bacterial SSU rRNA". It matches the Rfam family "Bacterial small subunit ribosomal RNA", at positions 355 to 776 of the family's 1533-position model. The record is from RNAcentral. RNAcentral also lists the same sequence under 1 other name.
UGGGGAAUAUUGCGCAAUGGGGGGAACCCUGACGCAGCAACGCCGCGUGAAGGAUGAAGGCCUUCGGGUUGUAAACUUCUUUGAUUGGGGAAGAAAUUUGACGGUACCCAAAGAACAAGCCACGGCUAACUACGUGCCAGCAGCCGCGGUAAUACGUAGGUGGCGAGCGUUGUCCGGAAUUACUGGGUGUAAAGGGCGUGUAGGCGGGGAUGCAAGUCAGAUGUGAAAUUCCGGGGCUCAACCCCGGCACUGCAUCUGAAACUGUGUCUCUUGAGUGCUGGAGAGGAAAGUGGAAUUCCUAGUGUAGCGGUGAAAUGCGUAGAGAUUAGGAGGAACACCAGUGGCGAAGGCGACUUACUGGGCCGUAACUGACGCUGAGGCGCGAAAGCGUGGGGAGCGAACAGG